GUGUCAGCAGCCGCGGUAAUACGUAGGGUCCAAGCGUUAUCCGGAUUUACUGGGUGUAAAGGGCGAGUAGACGGCGUUACAAGUCAGAUGUGAAAACUUGGGGCUCAACCUCAAGACUGCAUCUGAAACUGUAAUGCUAGAGUGCAGGAGAGGAAAGUGGAAUUCCUAGUGUAGCGGUGAAAUGCGUAGAUAUUAGGAGGAACACCAGUGGCGAAGGCGACUUUCUGGACUGUAACUGACGUUGAGGCGCGAAAGUGUGGGGAGCAAACAGGAUUAGAUACCCUGGUAGUCCACACUGUAAACGAUGGAUACUAGGUGUAGGCACUAACGUGUCUGUGCCGGCGCAAACGCAAUAAGUAUCCCACCUGGGGAGUACGGCCGCAAGGUUGAA
This 391-nucleotide ribosomal RNA is filed under the name uncultured bacterium. Its description in RNAcentral is "bacterial SSU rRNA". It matches the Rfam family "Bacterial small subunit ribosomal RNA", at positions 505 to 898 of the family's 1533-position model. The record is from RNAcentral.